This 744-nucleotide ribosomal RNA is filed under the name Geodermatophilus sp. RNAcentral describes it as "bacterial SSU rRNA". It matches the Rfam family "Bacterial small subunit ribosomal RNA", at positions 67 to 823 of the family's 1533-position model. Lineage: Bacteria; Bacillati; Actinomycetota; Actinomycetes; Geodermatophilales; Geodermatophilaceae. The record is from RNAcentral.
CGGUGAACCCGCUUCGGUGGGGGAUCAGUGGCGAACGGGUGAGUAACACGUGGGCAACCUGCCCCCGGCUCUGGGAUAACUCCAAGAAAUUGGGGCUAAUACCGGAUGUGACCGCUGGCCGCAUGGUCUGGUGGUGGAAAGGGUUUCCGGCUGGGGAUGGGCCCGCGGCCUAUCAGCUUGUUGGUGGGGUAGUGGCCUACCAAGGCGACGACGGGUAGCCGGCCUGAGAGGGUGACCGGCCACACUGGGACUGAGACACGGCCCAGACUCCUACGGGAGGCAGCAGUGGGGAAUAUUGCGCAAUGGGCGGAAGCCUGACGCAGCGACGCCGCGUGGGGGAUGACGGCCUUCGGGUUGUAAACCUCUUUCAGCAGGGACGAAGCCGUGAGGUGACGGUACCUGCAGAAGAAGCACCGGCCAACUACGUGCCAGCAGCCGCGGUAAUACGUAGGGUGCAAGCGUUGUCCGGAAUUAUUGGGCGUAAAGAGCUCGUAGGCGGUUGGUCGCGUCGGCUGUGAAAACCCGGAGCUCAACUCCGGGCCUGCAGUCGAUACGGGCCGACUUGAGUGUUGCAGGGGAGACUGGAAUUCCUGGUGUAGCGGUGAAAUGCGCAGAUAUCAGGAGGAACACCGGUGGCGAAGGCGGGUCUCUGGGCAACAACUGACGCUGAGGAGCGAAAGCGUGGGGAGCGAACAGGAUUAGAUACCCUGGUAGUCCACGCCGUAAACGUUGGGCGCUAGGUGU